CAGCCGCCGCGGUAAUACGUAGGUGGCAAGCGUUGUCCGGAAUUAUUGGGCGUAAAGGGCUCGCAGGCGGUUUCUUAAGUCUGAUGUGAAAGCCCCCGGCUCAACCGGGGAGGGUCAUUGGAAACUGGGAAACUUGAGUGCAGAAGAGGAGAGUGGAAUUCCACGUGUAGCAGUGAAAUGCGUAGAGAUGUGGAGGAACACCAGUGGCGAAGGCGACUCUCUGGUCUGUAACUGACGCUGAGGAGCGAAAGCGUGGGGAGCAAACAGGAUUAGAUACCCGCGUAGUCCCUGUCUCUUAUAC
This 301-nucleotide ribosomal RNA is filed under the name uncultured bacterium. RNAcentral's name for it is "partial 16S ribosomal RNA". It matches the Rfam family "Bacterial small subunit ribosomal RNA", at positions 509 to 807 of the family's 1533-position model. The record is from RNAcentral.